CCUACGGGAGGCAGCAGUAAGGAAUAUUGGUCAAUGGACGAAAGUCUGAACCAGCCAUGCCGCGUGAAGGAUGAAGGCCCUCUGGGUUGUAAACUUCUUUUAUAGGGGACGAAAAAAGGGCAUUCUUGCUCACUUGACGGUACCCUAGGAAUAAGCACCGGCUAACUCCGUGCCAGCAGCCGCGGUAAUACGGAGGGUGCAAGCGUUAUCCGGAUUUACUGGGUUUAAAGGGUGCGUAGGUGGGUUGGUAAGUCAGCGGUGAAAUCUUCGAGCUUAACUCGGAAACUGCCAUUGAUACUAUCAAUCUUGAAUCAUCUAGAGGUAAGCGGAAUAUGUCAUGUAGCGGUGAAAUGCUUAGAUAUGACAUAGAACACCAAUUGCGAAGGCAGCUUACUAUGGAUGUAUUGACACUGAGGCACGAAAGCGUGGGGAUCAAACAGGAUUAGAUACCCUGGUAGUCCACGCCCUAAACUAUGGAUACUCGACAUUUGCGAUAUACUGUAAGUGUCUGAGCGAAAGCAUUAAGUAUCCCACCUGGGAAGUAACGAGUCGCAAGAUUGAAACUCAAAUUGAAUUGACGGG
This 582-nucleotide ribosomal RNA is filed under the name uncultured bacterium. RNAcentral describes it as "bacterial SSU rRNA". It matches the Rfam family "Bacterial small subunit ribosomal RNA", at positions 338 to 917 of the family's 1533-position model. The record is from RNAcentral.